Molecule: ribosomal RNA, 18 nt
Filed under: Anopheles varuna
Lineage: Eukaryota; Metazoa; Arthropoda; Insecta; Diptera; Culicidae
Also listed under: 1 other name
Description: partial 28S ribosomal RNA
Source: RNAcentral
GUAGGCCUCAAGUGAUGU